This 265-nucleotide ribosomal RNA is filed under the name Salmonella enterica subsp. enterica serovar Paratyphi B. Its description in RNAcentral is "partial 23S ribosomal RNA". It matches the Rfam family "Bacterial large subunit ribosomal RNA", at positions 1300 to 1566 of the family's 2925-position model. Lineage: Bacteria; Pseudomonadati; Pseudomonadota; Gammaproteobacteria; Enterobacterales; Enterobacteriaceae. RNAcentral also lists the same sequence under 3 other names. The record is from RNAcentral.
ACAUAAGUAACGAUAAAGCGGGUGAAAAGCCCGCUCGCCGGAAGACCAAGGGUUCCUGUCCAACGUUAAUCGGGGCAGGGUGAGUCGACCCCUAAGGCGAGGCCGAAAGGCGUAGUCGAUGGGAAACGGGUUAAUAUUCCCGUACUUGGUGUUACUGCGAAGGGGGGACGGAGAAGGCUAUGUUGGCCGGGCGACGGUUGUCCCGGUUUAAGCGUGUAGGUGUGUGUUCCAGGUAAAUCCGGUUCACUUUAACACUGAGGCGUGA